CGGGAAUUUUGGGCAAUGGGCGAAAGCCUGACCCAGCAACGCCGCGUGAGGGAUGAAGUAUUUCGGUAUGUAAACCUCGAAAGAAUGGGAAGAAUAAAUGACGGUACCAUUUAUAAGCUCCGGCUAACUACGUGCCAGCAGCCGCGGUAAUACGUAGGGAGCAAGCGUUGUUCGGAUUUACUGGGCGUAAAGGGCGCGUAGGCGGCGCGGUAAGUCACUUGUGAAAUCUCUGAGCUUAACUCAGAACGGCCAAGUGAUACUGCUGUGCUAGAGUGCGGGAGAGGCAACCGGAAUUCUUGGUGUAGCGGUGAAAUGCGUAGAUAUCAAGAGGAACACCUGAGGCGAAGGCGGGUUGCUGGGCCGACACUGACGCUGAUGCGCGAAAGCCAGGGGAGCAAACG
This 401-nucleotide ribosomal RNA is filed under the name uncultured bacterium. RNAcentral's name for it is "bacterial SSU rRNA". It matches the Rfam family "Bacterial small subunit ribosomal RNA", at positions 356 to 774 of the family's 1533-position model. The record is from RNAcentral.